Molecule: transfer RNA, 64 nt
Filed under: Myrmedobia distinguenda
Lineage: Eukaryota; Metazoa; Arthropoda; Insecta; Hemiptera; Microphysidae
Description: tRNA-Glu
Rfam family: tRNA
About the family: Transfer RNA (tRNA) molecules are approximately 80 nucleotides in length.
Source: RNAcentral
AUUUACGUAGUUUAAAUAAAACGACUCAUUUUCAAUGAUUAAAUAAAUUAAAUUUUCGUAAAUA